This 493-nucleotide ribosomal RNA is filed under the name uncultured bacterium. RNAcentral's name for it is "partial 16S ribosomal RNA". It matches the Rfam family "Bacterial small subunit ribosomal RNA", at positions 28 to 506 of the family's 1533-position model. The record is from RNAcentral.
GACGAACGCUGGCGGCGUGCUUAACACAUGCAAGUCGAACGGAAAGGCCUGCUUUCCCUUGUGGAUUGCGGGUACUCGAGUGGCGAACGGGUGAGUAACACGUGAGUGAUCUGCCCCCAACUUGGGUAUAAGCCUGGGAAACUGGGUCUAAUUCCCGAUAGGACUGCAGGGUGGUGCCUGUGGUGGAAAAUGAUUUUCUAGUGGUUGGGGAUGAGCUAGCGGCCUAUCAGCUUGUUGGUGGGGUAAUGGCCUACCAAGGCGGCGACGGGUAGCAGGCGUGGGAGGGUGGACUGCGAAAUUGGGACUGAGAUACGGCCCAGACUACUACGGGAGGCAGCAGUGGGGAAUAUAGCACGAUGGGCGGAAGCCUGAUGCAGCGACGCCGCGUGGGGGAUGACGGCCUUCGGGUUGCAGACUCCUUUCGACCGCGAGGAAGCCACCUGGUUGGAAGGGUGGUGACGGUAGUGGUAGAAGAAGCACCGGCUAACUACGU